UCUAUUUGGAGGUAUAGAAAGUCUAGCCUGCCCGCUGAUUGAAAAGUGAUUUAAGGGCCGCGGUAUUAUGACCGUGCAAAGGUAGCAUAAUCAUUAGGUUUUUAAAUGAGAUCUUGUAUGAAUGGUUGGACAAAGGAAAAGCUGUCUUUAUGUGAAAAUUUGAAUUUUACUUUUAAGUGAGAAGGCUUAAAUGUUUUAGGGGGACGAUAAGACCCUAUAAAGCUUUACAUUGUAGUUAUAUUUAAUUGAAUUUUGAGAAUAAAAGUUUAUUGUAGAUAUUUGUUUUGUUGGGGAGAUAAAAGUAAAAAUUAUAUUAACUGCUUGGUAGAUUAAACAUUUAUUAGUGAUAUAGGUUAAUAGAUCCUGAAUAUAGAUUUAAAGAUUAAGUUACUUUAGGGAUAACAGUGUAAUUUUUUUUAAGAGUUCAUAUCGAAAAAAAAGUUUGCAACCUCGAUGUUGAAUUAAAAYGUCUAUAUAAUGUAGCUGUUAUAUCAGAARGUCUGUUCG
RNAcentral lists this ribosomal RNA (507 nucleotides) under Sendleria gloriosa. RNAcentral's name for it is "partial 16S ribosomal RNA". It matches the Rfam family "Bacterial large subunit ribosomal RNA", at positions 1832 to 2583 of the family's 2925-position model. Lineage: Eukaryota; Metazoa; Arthropoda; Malacostraca; Decapoda; Parathelphusidae. The record is from RNAcentral.